This is a long non-coding RNA of Cyprinus carpio carpio, 1708 nucleotides long. NCBI's taxonomy places the organism in Eukaryota, Metazoa, Chordata, Actinopteri, Cypriniformes, Cyprinidae. The record is from Ensembl.
AUGAUAGAAUUUACAUUUUUGGGUGAACUGUCCCUUUAAGAAGCACUAAAGAAUCACUUUUAGUGUAUUAAGUGAGCAGAAAUAGAGCUGAUUAUGUAAGUCGUGAAGCCGCAUGUCUUGUGUUUCUGGUGCUGGUGGAGCUCCUGGAGAGUCACGCAGGGUUCUGUUCGCUCGAUCCGAUUUGUUUAUUAUUAAUUAUAGGCAAUGUUCACGCUAUGCAACAUUUGAACACGAACGAGUGCUCGAACAAACCUGAUUUAAAACACACAACUGAAUUGAGAACGAAUCAUGAAGGUGAAUCUUUACUGUAGCUGCUCUGAAAUUUGGAAUUUGAGAUUUGGAAUUAUUUUCAAAUGAUGGAAUUUACUUUCAUACCAAAGAUUAUUGGUUAGUUUAGACAUGAGAUGUAUUUUUUCAGAUAUUUGUAGCCUUUAAAUGUUUUUUUCUCUGUCGUCUGACCAGGUCUCAGUUCUCACACGUAUGAAAGGGCUUUCUGCGUUUAAACGCUCGGAUGGAGAGACGCUUGGUUUUCGUUUACGUUUGAUCUGUUUUUGAGUUUGGAGAAGGGAUCUAGUUUUCUUUAAAAAAAAAAAAAAAAGAGAGAGAAUGAAAUGUCAGGAUGGAGAGUUCUUUUGCAAACUAUUCUAUUUAUUUAUUUGUGGGUGUGAUAUUUAUUGUGAGUUUCCUGGUCGAGGCGCUUGGGUUACUCUGCAUCCUGUCUUCUUCCGGAGCGUCUCCGUGGGUUCGGCCUCUUCUGUGGUAGUGUGCUCAGGUGUGUGUAUCUCAGGUAACAUCACGCUCAGGUGCUGUAGAGAGCUGAGGUUCAGACGUCCUCUGUUCACUAGUUUUGCACGAAUGAAUGAAUUUCUGGAUAAAGUCAGUCCUCCGGAGACCAGCGCAGAACAGACAGAAGAAACCAGGAGGAGGAGGAGGAGUCUUGCCUUUUUUGAAGCAAAUACAUAUCUGAGAUAUUUUUGAAAGAAAAAAAUGAUUUGCAUUAUAUGAAAAAUGAAUCUUUAAUGACAUUUGUAAGUCUAGCUUUAGCCGCCUUCAUCUAUAAUCUGCAGGAGACGCUCGCCAUCGAUCGAUUAUUCUGGGGUUUUCGUCUGGUGUGUGUUACUGUACUUCUGACAGUAGGGAAACUACCCAGAGGUUUAUUUGCACUAAAACUAAUCUUUGUGUCGUGAAAUGACUUGUUCAUUAUGAAUGUAAAUCUUCAAUAUCUUCUUUGCAUCUUAAAUAUUAAGUACUUUGCAGAAGUUCUGAUUUUUUUUUUUAAUGUAAAAGGUCAAGCUGCCUUAGUUUGUUUUAUUUUUUUUGCAACUAUUCUCAGGAAAUCUUGAGCCAUGCACUAAGUGCAUAUGCAGAUAUUAAUUUAUUGUAAAUAUUUGUGCUUGGAAAUAUGAACGGCUUGUUGUUAAGUUAAGUUUCUUUACAUCUGUCUUGUUUAUUCAUUGUUGUUUUAUAUCAAAAGCAAAGUUUUGAUUGUGUUUGGGGUUUAUUCAGGGAUCUGUGUUCUGUUCAUAGAAUGAAAUCUUUCUCAGCGAUGGCAAAUCAUUUCGCAUAUUGUACAAAUAAUGAGCAAAUAAACAAAGAUUAAUGUAUGAAUAGACUGUGCUGCCUCCUGCUGGCCCUUUCAUUUGUCAGAGAGUUUGGUGUUUCUAUAUUUUGUGGUGAAUGUGUGUCUGCUGCACUCUGAUAAAGAGAU